RNAcentral lists this ribosomal RNA (490 nucleotides) under Escherichia coli. Its description in RNAcentral is "bacterial SSU rRNA". It matches the Rfam family "Bacterial small subunit ribosomal RNA", at positions 1 to 480 of the family's 1533-position model. Lineage: Bacteria; Pseudomonadati; Pseudomonadota; Gammaproteobacteria; Enterobacterales; Enterobacteriaceae. The record is from RNAcentral.
AAAUUGAAGAGUUUGAUCAUGGCUCAGAUUGAACGCUGGCGGCAGGCCUAACACAUGCAAGUCGAACGGUAACAGGAAGCAGCUUGCUGCUUUGCUGACGAGUGGCGGACGGGUGAGUAAUGUCUGGGAAACUGCCUGAUGGAGGGGGAUAACUACUGGAAACGGUAGCUAAUACCGCAUAAUGUCGCAAGACCAAAGAGGGGGACCUUCGGGCCUCUUGCCAUCGGAUGUGCCCAGAUGGGAUUAGCUAGUAGGUGGGGUAACGGCUCACCUAGGCGACGAUCCCUAGCUGGUCUGAGAGGAUGACCAGCCACACUGGAACUGAGACACGGUCCAGACUCCUACGGGAGGCAGCAGUGGGGAAUAUUGCACAAUGGGCGCAAGCCUGAUGCAGCCAUGCCGCGUGUAUGAAGAAGGCCUUCGGGUUGUAAAGUACUUUCAGCGGGGAGGAAGGGAGUAAAGUUAAUACCUUUGCUCAUUGACGUUACCC